RNAcentral lists this ribosomal RNA (424 nucleotides) under Fusobacteriota bacterium. RNAcentral's name for it is "Fusobacteria bacterium partial 16S ribosomal RNA". It matches the Rfam family "Bacterial small subunit ribosomal RNA", at positions 355 to 776 of the family's 1533-position model. The record is from RNAcentral. Lineage: Bacteria; Fusobacteriati; Fusobacteriota.
UGAGGAAUAUUGGUCAAUGGGCGAGAGCCUGCACCAGCCAAGUAGCGUGCAGGAUGACGGCCCUAUGGGUUGUAAACUGCUUUUAUGUGGGGAUAAAGUGCGUGACGUGUCAUGCAUUGCAGGUACCACAUGAAUAAGGACCGGCUAAUUCCGUGCCAGCAGCCGCGGUAAUACGGAAGGUCCGGGCGUUAUCCGGAUUUAUUGGGUUUAAAGGGAGCGUAGGCUGUCUAUUAAGCGUGUUGUGAAAUUUACCGGCUCAACCGGUGGCUUGCAGCGCGAACUGGUCGACUUGAGUAUGCAGGAAGUAGGCGGAAUUCAUGGUGUAGCGGUGAAAUUCUUAGAUAUCAUGACGAACUCCGAUUGCGCAGGCAGCUUACUGUAGCAUAACUGACGCUGAUGCUCGAAAGUGCGGGUAUCAAACAGG